GAUGAACGCUGACAGAAUGCUUAACACAUGCAAGUCUUUGGCGAAGCUGUGCUCGCACAGCCUAGCCAAGGCGGACGGGUGAGUAACGCGUAAGGAACUUGCCCUGCAGUCAGGGAUAACAGACGGAAACGACUGAUAAGACCUGGUAAAGUCAGGCGGACUCAUGUCCAGCCUGAUGAAAAGAGAUGCUGCAGGAGAGCCUUGCGUCCUAUUAGCUUGUUGGUGGGGUAACGGCCCACCAAGGCGAUGAUAGGUAGCCGGCCUGAGAGGGUGGACGGCCACAAGGGGACUGAGAUACGGCCCUUACUCCUACGGGAGGCAGCAGUGGGGAAUAUUGGACAAUGGGGGCAACCCUGAUCCAGCAAUUCUGUGUGCACGAUGAAGGUUUUCGGAUUGUAAAGUGCUUUCAGCAGGGAAGAAAAAAAUGACGGUACCUGCAGAAGAGGCGACGGCUAAAUACGUG
This 463-nucleotide ribosomal RNA is filed under the name uncultured bacterium. RNAcentral describes it as "partial 16S ribosomal RNA". It matches the Rfam family "Bacterial small subunit ribosomal RNA", at positions 28 to 507 of the family's 1533-position model. The record is from RNAcentral.